AAAGCUCGUAGUUGAACCUUGGGCCUGGCUGGCCGGUCCGCCUCACCGCGUGCACUGGUUCGGCCGGGCCUUUCCCUCUGGGGAACCUCAUGCCCUUCACUGGGUGUGAUGGGGAACCAGGACUUUUACUGUGAAAAAAUUAGAGUGUUCAAAGCAGGCCUAUGCUCGAAUACAUUAGCAUGGAAUAAUAGAAUAGGACGUGUGGUUCUAUUUUGUUGGUUUCUAGGACCGCCGUAAUGAUUAAUAGGGACAGUCGGGGGCAUUAGUAUUCAAUUGUCAGAGGUGAAAUUCUUGGAUUUAUUGAAGACUAACUACUGCGAAAGCAUUUGCCAAGGAUGUUUUCAUUAAUCAGGAACGAAAGUUAGGGGAUCGAAGACGAUCAGAUACCGUCGUAGUCUUAACCAUAAACUAUGCCGACUAGGGAUCGGACGGUGUUAUUUUUUGACCCGUUCGGCACC
RNAcentral lists this ribosomal RNA (458 nucleotides) under uncultured Microdochium. RNAcentral describes it as "SSU rRNA". It matches the Rfam family "Eukaryotic small subunit ribosomal RNA", at positions 623 to 1087 of the family's 1831-position model. Lineage: Eukaryota; Fungi; Ascomycota; Sordariomycetes; Xylariales. The record is from RNAcentral.